UGGGGAGUAUUGCACAAUGGGGGAGGACCCUGAUGCAGCGACGCCGCGUGAGGGAAGACGGUUUUCGGAUUGUAAACCUCUGUCUUCAGGGAAGAAAGAAAUGACGGUACCUGGAGAGGAAGCCACGGCUAACUACGUGCCAGCAGCCGCGGUAAUACGUAGGUGGCAAGCGUUGUCCGGAAUUAUUGGGUGUAAAGGGAGCGUAGGCGGGUGGACAAGUUGAAUGUGAAAGAGACAGGCUCAACCUGUUGUUGCGUUCAAAACUGUACAUCUUGAGUGAAGUAGAGGCAGGCGGAAUUCCUAGUGUAGCGGUGAAAUGCGUAGAUAUUAGGAGGAACACCAGUGGCGAAGGCGGCCUGCUGGGCUGUAACUGACGCUGAGGCUCGAAAGCGUGGGUAGCAAACAGGAUUAGAUAACC
RNAcentral lists this ribosomal RNA (418 nucleotides) under uncultured bacterium. Its description in RNAcentral is "bacterial SSU rRNA". It matches the Rfam family "Bacterial small subunit ribosomal RNA", at positions 355 to 787 of the family's 1533-position model. The record is from RNAcentral.